GAACUGCGAUAAGUAAUGUGAAUUGCAGAAUUCAGUGAAUCAUCGAGUCUUUGAACGCACAUUGCGCCCCCUGGCAUUCCGGGGGGCAUACCUGUCCGAGCGUCAUUGCUGCCCUUCAAGCCCGGCUUGUGUGUUGGGUCGUCGUCCCCUCCGGGGGACGGGCCCGAAAGGCAGCGGCGGCACCGCGUCCGGUCCUCGAGCGUAUCGGGCUUUGUCACCCGCUCGAUAAGGACCGGCCGGGCGCCAGCCGGCGUCUCCAACCUUUUUUUCUCAGGUUGACCUCGGAUCAGGUAGGGAUACCCGCUGAACUUAAGC
RNAcentral lists this unclassified non-coding RNA (315 nucleotides) under plant metagenome. RNAcentral's name for it is "partial contains 5.8S ribosomal RNA, internal transcribed spacer 2, and large subunit ribosomal RNA". The stretch from base 1 to 105 matches the Rfam family "5.8S ribosomal RNA", at positions 50 to 154 of the family's 154-position model. The record is from RNAcentral.